RNAcentral lists this ribosomal RNA (200 nucleotides) under uncultured bacterium. Its description in RNAcentral is "partial 16S ribosomal RNA". It matches the Rfam family "Bacterial small subunit ribosomal RNA", at positions 8 to 208 of the family's 1533-position model. The record is from RNAcentral.
AGAGUUUGAUCCUGGCUCAGGACGAACGCUGGCGGCGUGCUUAACACAUGCAAGUCGAACGGAGAUAUUAGCAAUAGUAUCUUAGUGGCGGACGGGUGAGUAACGCGUGGGCAACUUGCCUCAGACAGGGGGAUAACACAGGGAAACUUGUGCUAAUACCGCAUAAUAUCACGAGGGGACAUCCUCUUGUGAUCAAAGGA